UUGCAGGCAUGAGCCACUGCACCUGGGCUGCCUAAAUUAAUUUUCUAGGGCCGCCAUAACAAAGUACUGCAGACUCGAUAGCUUAAGCUGCAGAGAUUUAUCUUCUCACAGCUCUGGAGGCUGGAAGUCAGAGGUCAACGUGUUGGCAAGGUUGGUGUCCUCUGAGGCCUCUGUCCUUGGCCUGCUAAUGGUGGCCUUCCUGCCACCUAUGUCUUCACAUGGUCUUGCCUUUGUGCAUGAGUGUGUCCUAAUCUUCUCUUAGUGGAUUAGGGCCCAUCCUGAUGACCUCAUUUUAACUUAGUCACCUCUUUAAAGCCCCUGUCUCCAAAUAAGGCCCCAUUCUGAGGUCCUGGGAGUUAGGGCUUCAGCACGUGGAUUUUGGAGGGAGACACAGUUCCACCCACAGCAUUACCCAUGUCUAUUUUGCCAGUGUGGAGUCAGUACAGGCUCCAGGACACAUCCACAGAGCACAGGCCACGUAGAGGGGAGCUCCUGUCUACAAGGAAAAGCUGGCAGAAAACCAACAAAGACAGCCUCUUGAUGGUGGUCUUCAAAAGAUGCAACAGGAUGCAAUGGCAGUUGACAAUGGGAAUUUCAACUAGCAACAAUCCUGUGGCAAGUUUACCACCCUGAAUAUCCCAGAACUUGGAGUGAAGCUUUGCAUCCCCUGGGAUGGCAGAGCCAAGAAAAACCAUGAGGACGGAAGCACUGUGAGUACCGGCAGGGUCAGCCCAACAAGGGUCAGUAAGAACUUCCCUUUUCAAAAGAUAAAGCGGUUCACAUAGACAGCUGUGGUGGACUCUUUCUGCUGCCUGUCCAACAGACUUCUGCACAUUUCCUAAGGACAGAACCGCAUUUUUGUACUAGAGCAGAGAUUCCGUGACAUCAGGAGAAGAGGCCCUUCCCCCAAUCCCAGGAGCCAAUAAACUCAUUCUUCUUUGCAAUUGUACAAUGACAUGCACAGGGAAGUCUUCCUUUCCAGGGUAUAAAGCACCAUUAGGAGAAAGUUUUUGGUUUGCCUUGGCCCUUAUUUUUUGUUUUGGGGAUUUUGCGUGUGACAACAUCACUCCUGAGCUGUGGCAGCCAUCUUACCAUCAUGAGGAAACCGCCACGGGGAUAAAAAGCCAGUCCUCUGAGGACCUGGAAGAAAGGACAGAACCUGGCUCCCAAGGCAUCACUGAGACCCAAAUCAACAGUAAGUAAGCACAGCACCUACUCCUGGGCUUCUUUUUAUGAGAGAAAAAAAAAGUUCCCAUUUGUGUAAAUCAUA
This 1270-nucleotide long non-coding RNA is filed under the name Homo sapiens (human). RNAcentral's name for it is "HSALNT0366406". Lineage: Eukaryota; Metazoa; Chordata; Mammalia; Primates; Hominidae. The record is from RNAcentral.